UUGGACGGCAAGUCUGGUGCCAGCAGCCGCGGUAAUUCCAGCUCCAAUAGCGUAUAUUAAAGUUGUUGCAGUUAAAAAGCUCGUAGUUGAAUUUCGGGAUCAAUAUAUCGGUCGUGCCUUUGGUACGUACUGGUAUCAUUGAUUUCUCCUUUCUGACGAAUCAUGAUGUCAUUAAUUUGGUGUUAUGAGGAGUUAGGACUGUUACUUUGAAAAAAUUAGAGUGUUUAAAGCAGGCAUUAGCUUGAAUACAUUAGCAUGGAAUAAUGAAAUAGGACGUUUGACCCUAUUUUGUUGGUUUCUAGGAUCAACGUAAUGAUUAAUAGGGAUAGUUGGGGGCAUUAGUAUUCAAUUGUCAGAGGUGAAAUUCUUGGAUUUAUUGAAGACUAACUACUGCGAAAGCAUUUGCCAAGGAUGUUUUCAUUAAUCAAGAACGAAAGUUAGGGGAUCGAAGACGAUCAGAUACCGUCGUAGUCUUAACCAUAAACUAUGCCGACUAGGGAUCGGAUGAUGUUAAUUUUUUAAUGACUCAUUCGGCGCCUUACGGGAAAC
This 549-nucleotide ribosomal RNA is filed under the name uncultured Glomeromycotina. RNAcentral describes it as "SSU rRNA". It matches the Rfam family "Eukaryotic small subunit ribosomal RNA", at positions 548 to 1098 of the family's 1831-position model. The record is from RNAcentral. Lineage: Eukaryota; Fungi; Glomeromycota.